This 450-nucleotide ribosomal RNA is filed under the name uncultured bacterium. Its description in RNAcentral is "partial 16S ribosomal RNA". It matches the Rfam family "Bacterial small subunit ribosomal RNA", at positions 354 to 796 of the family's 1533-position model. The record is from RNAcentral.
GUGGGGAAUCUUCCGCAAUGGACGAAAGUCUGACGGAGCGACGCCGCGUGAGUGAAGAAGGCCUUCGGGUCGUAAAGCUCUGUCAUCAGGGACGAACGGCCGGUGGAGUGGAAAGCCACCGGAUUGACGGUACCUGAGAAGGAAGCCACGGCUAACUACGUGCCAGCAGCCGCGGUAAUACGUAGGUGGCAAGCGUUGUCCGGAAUUAUUGGGCGUAAAGCGCGCGCAGGUGGGAUCUUAAGUCCAUUUUUAAAGUGCGGAGCUCAACUCCGUGAUGGGAUAGAAACUGGGAUUCUUGAGUACCGGAGAGGAAAGCGGAAUUCCCCGUGUAGCGGUGAAAUGCGUAGAUAUGGGGAGGAACACCAGUGGCGAAGGCGUCUUUCUGGACGGUGUCUGACACUGAGGCGCGAAAGCCAGGGGAGCGAACGGGAUUAGAAACCCGAGUAGUCC